UAGUCCUGAUGAUAGCUUGAAGACCUGAGAUGUCCCAUGGUUGGCACACUGAUCCAAGGUACUCACGGUAACCACCGUAACACUACCCCCAUAUUUCUGAGUCUGAGAAUCAAAUGAAGGAAGUAUUCUGAAAGUCGUACCUUAGAUCUGGGAUGCACGCUUUCAUGCCUUCACGAAUGUUCGAUAUUUAAAGUUGCUGACGUUAUCUUAGUACAAUCGUUGCAAAUGAUCGCAAUUGAUGGGACCCCACAACUGAUGAUUUUCUUAAAAAUUUAAUUUCUUAGGCGGUGGCUUUUUGUCUUCAUUUUCGAUCUCCUUUUAAAUCAGACUCUUGGAUACUUAGUCAGAGAAAAGUAAUCGCUAGACUUUCCUGCUCUAAACCUUUGUCACAACCCUUAAAGGCAAGAUGAGCUUAGAACUCAUGAGGAAGCUUUAACUGGCGUUGGCCUGAAAGAAACUGGCCAAGGCCCUGACCAC
This 477-nucleotide long non-coding RNA is filed under the name Elaeis guineensis (African oil palm). Its description in RNAcentral is "long non-coding RNA (EGUI_LNC043587)". Lineage: Eukaryota; Viridiplantae; Streptophyta; Magnoliopsida; Arecales; Arecaceae. The record is from RNAcentral.